AACGAACGCUGGCGGCAUGCCUAACACAUGCAAGUCGAACGAUCCCUUCGGGGAUAGUGGCGCACGGGUGCGUAACGCGUGGGAACCUGCCCUUAGGUUCGGAAUAACUCAGAGAAAUUUGAGCUAAUACCGGAUAAUGUCUUCGGACCAAAGAUUUAUCGCCUUUGGAUGGGCCCGCGUUGGAUUAGCUAGUUGGUGGGGUAAAGGCCUACCAAGGCGACGAUCCAUAGCUGGUCUGAGAGGAUGAUCAGCCACACUGGGGCUGAGACACGGCCCAGACUCCUACGGGAGGCAGCAGUGGGGAAUAUUGGACAAUGGGCGAAAGCCUGAUCCAGCAAUGCCGCGUGAGUGAUGAAGGCCUUAGGGUUGUAAAGCUCUUUUACCCGGGAUGAUAAUGACAGUACCGGGAGAAUAAGCCCCGGCUAACUCCGUG
This 433-nucleotide ribosomal RNA is filed under the name uncultured bacterium. RNAcentral describes it as "partial 16S ribosomal RNA". It matches the Rfam family "Bacterial small subunit ribosomal RNA", at positions 29 to 507 of the family's 1533-position model. The record is from RNAcentral.